This 468-nucleotide ribosomal RNA is filed under the name uncultured bacterium. RNAcentral's name for it is "partial 16S ribosomal RNA". It matches the Rfam family "Bacterial small subunit ribosomal RNA", at positions 28 to 507 of the family's 1533-position model. The record is from RNAcentral.
GACGAACGCUGGCGGCGUGCUUAACACAUGCAAGUCGAACGGAAAGGCCCUGCUUUUGUGGGGUGCUCGAGUGGCGAACGGGUGAGUAACACGUGAGUAACCUGCCCUUGACUUUGGGAUAACUUCAGGAAACUGGGGCUAAUACCGGAUAGGAGCUCCUGCUGCAUGGUGGGGGUUGGAAAGUUUCGGCGGUUGGGGAUGGACUCGCGGCUUAUCGGCUUGUUGGUGGGGUAGUGGCUUACCAAGGCUUUGACGGGUAGCCGGCCUGAGAGGGUGACCGGCCACAUUGGGACUGAGGUACGGCCCAGACUCCUACGGGAGGCAGCAGUGGGGAAUAUUGCACAAUGGGCGGAAGCCUGAUGCAGCAACGCCGCGUGCGGGAUGACGGCCUUCGGGUUGUAAACCGCUUUCGCCUGUGACGAAGCGUGAGUGACGGUAAUGGGUAAAGAAGCACCGGCUAACUACGUG